RNAcentral lists this ribosomal RNA (407 nucleotides) under uncultured bacterium. RNAcentral describes it as "partial 16S ribosomal RNA". It matches the Rfam family "Bacterial small subunit ribosomal RNA", at positions 28 to 526 of the family's 1533-position model. The record is from RNAcentral.
GACGAACGCUGGCGGCGUGCCUAAUACAUGCAAGUAGGACGCAGUUGCGAACGGGGGAGUAACGCGUAGGUAACUACCUAUUAGAGGGGGAUAACUAUUGGAAACGAUAGCUAAUACCGCAUACUAGUAGAUGGACCUGCGUUGUAUUAGCUAGUAGGUAGGGUAAUGGCCUACCUAGGCAACGAUACAUAGCCGACCUGAGCAGGAGUGCGGCCACACUGGGAGUGUGUCACGGCCAUGACUCCUACGGGGAGCAGCAGUGGGGAAUCUGCGGCAAUGGGGGGAAGCUUGACCGAGCAACGCCGCGUGAGUGAAGAAGGUUUUCGGAUCGUAAAGCUCUGUUGUUAAGGAAGCGGUACUUAACCAGAAACGCACGGCUAACUACGUGGCAGCAGCCGCGGUAAUUC